This 2902-nucleotide ribosomal RNA is filed under the name Escherichia coli HVH 36 (4-5675286). RNAcentral's name for it is "bacterial LSU rRNA". It matches the Rfam family "Bacterial large subunit ribosomal RNA". Lineage: Bacteria; Pseudomonadati; Pseudomonadota; Gammaproteobacteria; Enterobacterales; Enterobacteriaceae. The record is from RNAcentral.
UUAAGCGACUAAGCGUACACGGUGGAUGCCCUGGCAGUCAGAGGCGAUGAAGGACGUGCUAAUCUGCGAUAAGCGUCGGUAAGGUGAUAUGAACCGUUAUAACCGGCGAUUUCCGAAUGGGGAAACCCAGUGUGUUUCGACACACUAUCAUUAACUGAAUCCAUAGGUUAAUGAGGCGAACCGGGGGAACUGAAACAUCUAAGUACCCCGAGGAAAAGAAAUCAACCGAGAUUCCCCCAGUAGCGGCGAGCGAACGGGGAGCAGCCCAGAGCCUGAAUCAGUGUGUGUGUUAGUGGAAGCGUCUGGAAAGGCGCGCGAUACAGGGUGACAGCCCCGUACACAAAAAUGCACAUACUGUGAGCUCGAUGAGUAGGGCGGGACACGUGGUAUCCUGUCUGAAUAUGGGGGGACCAUCCUCCAAGGCUAAAUACUCCUGACUGACCGAUAGUGAACCAGUACCGUGAGGGAAAGGCGAAAAGAACCCCGGCGAGGGGAGUGAAAAAGAACCUGAAACCGUGUACGUACAAGCAGUGGGAGCACGCUUAGGCGUGUGACUGCGUACCUUUUGUAUAAUGGGUCAGCGACUUAUAUUCUGUAGCAAGGUUAACCGAAUAGGGGAGCCGAAGGGAAACCGAGUCUUAACUGGGCGUUAAGUUGCAGGGUAUAGACCCGAAACCCGGUGAUCUAGCCAUGGGCAGGUUGAAGGUUGGGUAACACUAACUGGAGGACCGAACCGACUAAUGUUGAAAAAUUAGCGGAUGACUUGUGGCUGGGGGUGAAAGGCCAAUCAAACCGGGAGAUAGCUGGUUCUCCCCGAAAGCUAUUUAGGUAGCGCCUCGUGAAUUCAUCUCCGGGGGUAGAGCACUGUUUCGGCAAGGGGGUCAUCCCGACUUACCAACCCGAUGCAAACUGCGAAUACCGGAGAAUGUUAUCACGGGAGACACACGGCGGGUGCUAACGUCCGUCGUGAAGAGGGAAACAACCCAGACCGCCAGCUAAGGUCCCAAAGUCAUGGUUAAGUGGGAAACGAUGUGGGAAGGCCCAGACAGCCAGGAUGUUGGCUUAGAAGCAGCCAUCAUUUAAAGAAAGCGUAAUAGCUCACUGGUCGAGUCGGCCUGCGCGGAAGAUGUAACGGGGCUAAACCAUGCACCGAAGCUGCGGCAGCGACGCUGAUGCGUUGUUGGGUAGGGGAGCGUUCUGUAAGCCUGUGAAGGUGUACUGUGAGGUAUGCUGGAGGUAUCAGAAGUGCGAAUGCUGACAUAAGUAACGAUAAAGCGGGUGAAAAGCCCGCUCGCCGGAAGACCAAGGGUUCCUGUCCAACGUUAAUCGGGGCAGGGUGAGUCGACCCCUAAGGCGAGGCCGAAAGGCGUAGUCGAUGGGAAACAGGUUAAUAUUCCUGUACUUGGUGUUACUGCGAAGGGGGGACGGAGAAGGCUAUGUUGGCCGGGCGACGGUUGUCCCGGUUUAAGCGUGUAGGCUGGUUUUCCAGGCAAAUCCGGAAAAUCAAGGCUGAGGCGUGAUGACGAGGCACUACGGUGCUGAAGCAACAAAUGCCCUGCUUCCAGGAAAAGCCUCUAAGCAUCAGGUAACAUCAAAUCGUACCCCAAACCGACACAGGUGGUCAGGUAGAGAAUACCAAGGCGCUUGAGAGAACUCGGGUGAAGGAACUAGGCAAAAUGGUGCCGUAACUUCGGGAGAAGGCACGCUGAUAUGUAGGUGAAGUCCCUCGCGGAUGGAGCUGAAAUCAGUCGAAGAUACCAGCUGGCUGCAACUGUUUAUUAAAAACACAGCACUGUGCAAACACGAAAGUGGACGUAUACGGUGUGACGCCUGCCCGGUGCCGGAAGGUUAAUUGAUGGGGUCAGCGCAAGCGAAGCUCUUGAUCGAAGCCCCGGUAAACGGCGGCCGUAACUAUAACGGUCCUAAGGUAGCGAAAUUCCUUGUCGGGUAAGUUCCGACCUGCACGAAUGGCGUAAUGAUGGCCAGGCUGUCUCCACCCGAGACUCAGUGAAAUUGAACUCGCUGUGAAGAUGCAGUGUACCCGCGGCAAGACGGAAAGACCCCGUGAACCUUUACUAUAGCUUGACACUGAACAUUGAGCCUUGAUGUGUAGGAUAGGUGGGAGGCUUUGAAGUGUGGACGCCAGUCUGCAUGGAGCCGACCUUGAAAUACCACCCUUUAAUGUUUGAUGUUCUAACGUGGACCCGUAAUCCGGGUUGCGGACAGUGUCUGGUGGGUAGUUUGACUGGGGCGGUCUCCUCCUAAAGAGUAACGGAGGAGCACGAAGGUUGGCUAAUCCUGGUCGGACAUCAGGAGGUUAGUGCAAUGGCAUAAGCCAGCUUGACUGCGAGCGUGACGGCGCGAGCAGGUGCGAAAGCAGGUCAUAGUGAUCCGGUGGUUCUGAAUGGAAGGGCCAUCGCUCAACGGAUAAAAGGUACUCCGGGGAUAACAGGCUGAUACCGCCCAAGAGUUCAUAUCGACGGCGGUGUUUGGCACCUCGAUGUCGGCUCAUCACAUCCUGGGGCUGAAGUAGGUCCCAAGGGUAUGGCUGUUCGCCAUUUAAAGUGGUACGCGAGCUGGGUUUAGAACGUCGUGAGACAGUUCGGUCCCUAUCUGCCGUGGGCGCUGGAGAAUUGAGGGGGGCUGCUCCUAGUACGAGAGGACCGGAGUGGACGCAUCACUGGUGUUCGGGUUGUCAUGCCAAUGGCACUGCCCGGUAGCUAAAUGCGGAAGAGAUAAGUGCUGAAAGCAUCUAAGCACGAAACUUGCCCCGAGAUGAGUUCUCCCUGACUCCUUGAGAGUCCUGAAGGAACGUUGAAGACGACGACGUUGAUAGGCCGGGUGUGUAAGCGCAGCGAUGCGUUGAGCUAACCGGUACUAAUGAACCGUGAGGCUUAACCUU